UUGAAUAGUAAAAUAUUAUAAUAGUUUUUGUUCUUUUCAAAACGAAUAUUUCCAGAAAAAUUACUUUGUUCCUCGAGGCGGUGAUCGGAAAAACCACGGAGGGAAAAUCGCCAACCAAAUAGGAAAUUUCAAAUAAAGUAAGAGGAAAGCUGAUCUUAAGGAAGAGUUAUACAGUAAAAAACGAACCAAUACUGUAUAUUCGAUUGAUGAAAACCCAAGUACCAAUGAGGCUGUUGAGUGGCUUCAAUUGAACCAAGAACCUUGGAGUGUAGUUUUGGAAAAAUGGAGCACAAGCUUGGAUAGACGUAAAUCUUUUCUGAAAGCCCCACAGCUUGUUGAAAAACUAUUGGAUAGUUUUCCGCACUACCGCCAUCGAAACGGUUAUCAACUGAUUGAUAUCGACUAUCAAAAACUCCAACUUGGAACCGGAAGAGGUUCAGAAGCACUUGAAAACUUAAGAAAUUCAAGACCACUAAUCGCAGCUUACGCGGCCAAAAAGGCGUCAGAUCCAUCAUCUAAGGAUUUGUUAAAAGUUUUCUCGGGUAGCGAAGCAAGUGAAGAUACGCAAUUUCGUGCUCUACUUCUGCUUUUGAACACCGUGCUACCUCCAAUUCCAGCAGGGGCUCGGUUUAAACCGACAAUAAGGUUCGCCCAGGAGGAUACAAUAAUUUUUGUUGACGAGGUUUCCAAAGUAGCUUCGGAAGUUCAGCGCACAAUUAAAAGC
This is a long non-coding RNA of Uranotaenia lowii, 724 nucleotides long. RefSeq lists it as uncharacterized. Lineage: Eukaryota; Metazoa; Arthropoda; Insecta; Diptera; Culicidae. The record is from RefSeq and is a predicted model, not a curated record. The transcript has 3 exons.